Molecule: ribosomal RNA, 253 nt
Filed under: uncultured bacterium
Lineage: Bacteria
Description: partial 16S ribosomal RNA
Rfam family: Bacterial small subunit ribosomal RNA
Source: RNAcentral
UACGUAGGGGGCAAGCGUUGUCCGGAUUUAUUGGGCGUAAAGAGCGUGUAGGCGGCUUUACAGGUCCGUUGUGAAAACUCGAGGCUCAACCUCGAGACGCCGGUGGAAACCGUAAGGCUAGAGUACAGAAGAGGUAACUGGAAUUCCCGGUGUAGUGGUGAAAUGCGUAGAUAUCGGGAGGAACACCAGUGGCGAAGGCGACUACCUGGCCCAUUCUUGACGCUGAGGCGCGAAAGCUAGGGGAGCGAACGGG